UAUGUACCUAAAAGUGUUUUAUUACGCC
This 28-nucleotide small RNA is filed under the name Bombyx mori (domestic silkworm). RNAcentral describes it as "ovarian small RNA-6656". The record is from RNAcentral. Lineage: Eukaryota; Metazoa; Arthropoda; Insecta; Lepidoptera; Bombycidae.